Molecule: long non-coding RNA, 225 nt
Organism: Oncorhynchus tshawytscha (Chinook salmon)
Lineage: Eukaryota; Metazoa; Chordata; Actinopteri; Salmoniformes; Salmonidae
Exons: 2
Source: RefSeq, a predicted model, not a curated record
GGGGAACAGGACAGUGUCUGUCAGCCCUCCAGGUCUCGUUUGACCUCACAUCUCCCUGGUUAAAUGGAACUGGACUCGUCACUCGCUGCUUCUCAAUGUUUUAUGGAGUGUCUGUAUGUUAUUAUUUGAUCACAUUUUAAAACUACUUAUGUGUUGAUCUCUAAAUACCCUGUGAACUAUUUUGAUUGAGAAUAAAUAAAAAAUAAUAAAUAGAUUUAUGUCAAA